Molecule: ribosomal RNA, 460 nt
Filed under: uncultured bacterium
Lineage: Bacteria
Description: partial 16S ribosomal RNA
Rfam family: Bacterial small subunit ribosomal RNA
Source: RNAcentral
CCUACGGGGGGCAGCAGUGAGGAAUAUUGGUCAAUGGGCGCAAGCCUGAACCAGCCAAGUCGCGUGAGGGAUUAAGGCCCUGCGGGUCGUAAACCUCUUUUGCCGGGGAGCAGUGGUCCGGACGCGUCCCGCCCGUGAGAGUACCCGGAGAAAAAGCAUCGGCUAACUCCGUGCCAGCAGCCGCGGUAAUACGGAGGAUGCGAGCGUUAUCCGGAUUUAUUGGGUUUAAAGGGUGCGUAGGCGGGCAUUUAAGCCGGCGGUCAAAUGUCGGGGCUCAACCCCGGCCUGCCGUCGAAACUGGGUGACUUGAGUGGACGAGAAGUAUGCGGAAUGCGUGGUGUAGCGGUGAAAUGCAUAGAUAUCACGCAGAACCCCGAUUGCGAAGGCAGCAUACCGGCGCCCUACUGACGCUGAGGCACGAAAGUGUGGGGAUCGAACAGGAUUAGAUACCCCAGUAGUC